RNAcentral lists this ribosomal RNA (484 nucleotides) under uncultured bacterium. RNAcentral describes it as "partial 16S ribosomal RNA". It matches the Rfam family "Bacterial small subunit ribosomal RNA", at positions 29 to 507 of the family's 1533-position model. The record is from RNAcentral.
AUUGAACGCUGGCGGCAUGCUUUACACAUGCAAGUCGAACGGCAACGCGGCCUUCGGCCUGGCCGCGUGGGGCGAACGGGUGUGAUAUACCUCGAAACGUCCCCAGGUGUGGGGGAAAUAUCCGCAAAAGCAGGUAUAAUACCCCAUACUCCCUGGGGGAGAAAGGGGGGGCUCAUCGCCCCGCGCGCUAUUGGCGCGCCCGAUGGCAGAUUAGCUAGUUGGUGGGGUAAAGGCCCACCAAGGCCACGAUCUGUAGCUGGUCUGAGAGGACGACCAGCCACACUGGGACUGAGACACGGCCCAGACUCCUACGGGAGGCAGCAGUGGGGAAUUUUGGACAAUGGGCGCAAGCCUGAUCCAGCAAUGCCGCGUGUGUGAAGAAGGCCUUCGGGUUGUAAAGUGCUUUUGGACGGAACGAAAAGGAUUGGGCUAAUACCAGGGGCUAAUGACGGUACCGGAAGAAUAAGCACCGGCUAACUACGUG